UUGACCUCGGAUCAGGUAGGAAUACCCGCUGAACUUAAGCAUAUCAAUAAGCGGAGGAAAAGAAACCAACAGGGAUUGCCCUAGUAACGGCGAGUGAAGCGGCAACAGCUCAAAUUUGAAAUCUGGCCCCCGGGUCCGAGUUGUAAUUUGUAGAGGAUGCUUUUGGUGCGGUGCCUUCCGAGUUCCCUGGAACGGGACGCCAUAGAGGGUGAGAGCCCCGUCUGGUUGGAUACCAAUCCUCUGUAAAGCUCCUUCGACGAGUCGAGUAGUUUGGGAAUGCUGCUCUAAAUGGGAGGUAUAUGUCUUCUAAAGCUAAAUACCGGCCAGAGACCGAUAGCGCACAAGUAGAGUGAUCGAAAGAUGAAAAGCACUUUGAAAAGAGGGUUAAACAGUACGUGAAAUUGUUGAAAGGGAAGCGCUUGUGACCAGACUUGGGCUCGGCUAAUCAUCCAGCGUUCUCGCUGGUGCACUUGGCCGGCCUAGGCCAGCAUCAGUUCGGCGCGGGGGAUAAAGGCUUUGGGAAUGUGGCUCCCCCGGGA
RNAcentral lists this ribosomal RNA (539 nucleotides) under Hypocreales sp. NRRL 46123. RNAcentral describes it as "eukaryotic LSU rRNA". It matches the Rfam family "Eukaryotic large subunit ribosomal RNA", at positions 1 to 550 of the family's 3401-position model. The record is from RNAcentral. Lineage: Eukaryota; Fungi; Ascomycota; Sordariomycetes; Hypocreales.